Molecule: ribosomal RNA, 2932 nt
Filed under: Escherichia coli
Lineage: Bacteria; Pseudomonadati; Pseudomonadota; Gammaproteobacteria; Enterobacterales; Enterobacteriaceae
Description: 23S ribosomal RNA
Rfam family: Bacterial large subunit ribosomal RNA
Source: RNAcentral
GGGUUGUGAGGUUAAGCGACUAAGCGUACACGGUGGAUGCCCUGGCAGUCAGAGGCGAUGAAGGACGUGCUAAUCUGCGAUAAGCGUCGGUAAGGUGAUAUGAACCGUUAUAACCGGCGAUUUCCGAAUGGGGAAACCCAGUGUGUUUCGACACACUAUCAUUAACUGAAUCCAUAGGUUAAUGAGGCGAACCGGGGGAACUGAAACAUCUAAGUACCCCGAGGAAAAGAAAUCAACCGAGAUUCCCCCAGUAGCGGCGAGCGAACGGGGAGCAGCCCAGAGCCUGAAUCAGUGUGUGUGUUAGUGGAAGCGUCUGGAAAGGCGCGCGAUACAGGGUGACAGCCCCGUACACAAAAAUGCACAUGCUGUGAGCUCGAUGAGUAGGGCGGGACACGUGGUAUCCUGUCUGAAUAUGGGGGGACCAUCCUCCAAGGCUAAAUACUCCUGACUGACCGAUAGUGAACCAGUACCGUGAGGGAAAGGCGAAAAGAACCCCGGCGAGGGGAGUGAAAAGAACCUGAAACCGUGUACGUACAAGCAGUGGGAGCACGCUUAGGCGUGUGACUGCGUACCUUUUGUAUAAUGGGUCAGCGACUUAUAUUCUGUAGCAAGGUUAACCGAAUAGGGGAGCCGAAGGGAAACCGAGUCUUAACUGGGCGUUAAGUUGCAGGGUAUAGACCCGAAACCCGGUGAUCUAGCCAUGGGCAGGUUGAAGGUUGGGUAACACUAACUGGAGGACCGAACCGACUAAUGUUGAAAAAUUAGCGGAUGACUUGUGGCUGGGGGUGAAAGGCCAAUCAAACCGGGAGAUAGCUGGUUCUCCCCGAAAGCUAUUUAGGUAGCGCCUCGUGAAUUCAUCUCCGGGGGUAGAGCACUGUUUCGGCAAGGGGGUCAUCCCGACUUACCAACCCGAUGCAAACUGCGAAUACCGGAGAAUGUUAUCACGGGAGACACACGGCGGGUGCUAACGUCCGUCGUGAAGAGGGAAACAACCCAGACCGCCAGCUAAGGUCCCAAAGUCAUGGUUAAGUGGGAAACGAUGUGGGAAGGCCCAGACAGCCAGGAUGUUGGCUUAGAAGCAGCCAUCAUUUAAAGAAAGCGUAAUAGCUCACUGGUCGAGUCGGCCUGCGCGGAAGAUGUAACGGGGCUAAACCAUGCACCGAAGCUGCGGCAGCGACGCUGAUGCGUUGUUGGGUAGGGGAGCGUUCUGUAAGCCUGCGAAGGUGUGCUGUGAGGCAUGCUGGAGGUAUCAGAAGUGCGAAUGCUGACAUAAGUAACGAUAAAGCGGGUGAAAAGCCCGCUCGCCGGAAGACCAAGGGUUCCUGUCCAACGUUAAUCGGGGCAGGGUGAGUCGACCCCUAAGGCGAGGCCGAAAGGCGUAGUCGAUGGGAAACAGGUUAAUAUUCCUGUACUUGGUGUUACUGCGAAGGGGGGACGGAGAAGGCUAUGUUGGCCGGGCGACGGUUGUCCCGGUUUAAGCGUGUAGGCUGGUUUUCCGGUGCAAAUCCGGAAAAUCAAGGCUGAGGCGUGAUGACGAGGCACUACGGUGCUGAAGCAACAAAUGCCCUGCUUCCGGAAAAGCCUCUAAGCAUCAGGUAACAUCAAAUCGUACCCCAAACCGACACAGGUGGUCAGGUAGAGAAUACCAAGGCGCUUGAGAGAACUCGGGUGAAGGAACUAGGCAAAAUGGUGCCGUAACUUCGGGAGAAGGCACGCUGAUAUGUAGGUGAAGUCCCUCGCGGAUGGAGCUGAAAUCAGUCGAAGAUACCAGCUGGCUGCAACUGUUUAUUAAAAACACAGCACUGUGCAAACACGAAAGUGGACGUAUACGGUGUGACGCCUGCCCGGUGCCGGAAGGUUAAUUGAUGGGGUUAGCCGCAAGGCGAAGCUCUUGAUCGAAGCCCCGGUAAACGGCGGCCGUAACUAUAACGGUCCUAAGGUAGCGAAAUUCCUUGUCGGGUAAGUUCCGACCUGCACGAAUGGCGUAAUGAUGGCCAGGCUGUCUCCACCCGAGACUCAGUGAAAUUGAACUCGCUGUGAAGAUGCAGUGUACCCGCGGCAAGACGGAAAGACCCCGUGAACCUUUACUAUAGCUUGACACUGAACAUUGAGCCUUGAUGUGUAGGAUAGGUGGGAGGCUUGGAAGUGUGGACGCCAGUCUGCAUGGAGCCGACCUUGAAAUACCACCCUUUAAUGUUUGAUGUUCUAACGUUGACCCGUAAUCCGGGUUGCGGACAGUGUCUGGUGGGUAGUUUGACUGGGGCGGUCUCCUCCUAAAGAGUAACGGAGGAGCACGAAGGUUGGCUAAUCCUGGUCGGACAUCAGGAGGUUAGUGCAAUGGCAUAAGCCAGCUUGACUGCGAGCGUGACGGCGCGAGCAGGUGCGAAAGCAGGUCAUAGUGAUCCGGUGGUUCUGAAUGGAAGGGCCAUCGCUCAACGGAUAAAAGGUACUCCGGGGAUAACAGGCUGAUACCGCCCAAGAGUUCAUAUCGACGGCGGUGUUUGGCACCUCGAUGUCGGCUCAUCACAUCCUGGGGCUGAAGUAGGUCCCAAGGGUAUGGCUGUUCGCCAUUUAAAGUGGUACGCGAGCUGGGUUUAGAACGUCGUGAGACAGUUCGGUCCCUAUCUGCCGUGGGCGCUGGAGAACUGAGGGGGGCUGCUCCUAGUACGAGAGGACCGGAGUGGACGCAUCACUGGUGUUCGGGUUGUCAUGCCAAUGGCACUGCCCGGUAGCUAAAUGCGGAAGAGAUAAGUGCUGAAAGCAUCUAAGCACGAAACUUGCCCCGAGAUGAGUUCUCCCUGACUCCUUGAGAGUCCUGAAGGAACGUUGAAGACGACGACGUUGAUAGGCCGGGUGUGUAAGCGCAGCGAUGCGUUGAGCUAACCGGUACUAAUGAACCGUGAGGCUUAACCUUACAACGCCGAAGGUGUUU